CCUCAUUUAAGGGCUGACCACCACUAAGGCAGCAUCUCUUGGAGAUUGCUCCUUGGUGGAGAUUGUCUUAGCGGUUCCAGCAGACCAAAGACUUCCAUACAGGCUUGCUUUCCAAGGUACUUCUUGUGAUAAGUUUCUGACUUAUCUGGGAGAUGAGAGGUGGGUGUUGCCAUGUGACAGCUGGCAAGGCCCAGAAGAUAGGAACAAAGGACUUUCUACUGAAAUCUCAAAGCCAGAAGAUGCCACUCCAAAGAGAGAUAACUCAACCACUUUGGAUUUGAGCUGUCACUCCAAAGAGAGCUUACUUGACCGGUCGACCACCUUGGACAGUUGCCGUUGUCAAUCGUCAGCUGAACAACCUCCAAUGACACAUCAGUACUAAAGAUCAAUAUCUGGACUACGAGCAGUGAUGGAAUCUGUGGUGGUGAAUGUCUCUCUCUUGCUUCCUACAAAUACUCCUUGUGUUUAUUUCCUAUCUUUUCUAUCACCUGUCUUCCCUUCCCAUCUCCUUAAACGACUGGGAUUUGUAAUAAACUGGUCAGGCUAACAUUUGACCCAUUGUGUAUUAAGCUUGCCGUUGGGUAUUCACUUAUACAAAGAACCCCCUCUCUUUCCUAUAAAUUGAAGCACGAGAAUACUGCAAAUACUUGAGCUUUUGCAUAAUUUAGGAAGUAGGGGUUUUUGCCUUUCACCUUACAUCUCAGUUCUGCAAUUGCAAAUUGACUUCCGGAGCUGCAAGAUGAAUCUGAUAUUCUCAUUGUUGUAGUAGGCUUGAAAUAGAUUCAAGAUUUAGGAAUUAGAAGUCUAGUGGCUGAGUUUUGAUAUUAUAGCUUCAGAACAACUAUAUAAUAUGGGCACUAUAUACUUCUUUUACUGUCUGUGGUUUCUGGGCUUUCCUACACUGCUGUUUUCUUCCACUGUCAACAGUAAUUACUUCUGUACAUGGAGUGAACACUUAUAUUUUUUUCUGUAUGUAGGAUUUACAGACAUUCAGAGAAUUGUGCUAAAUUCAGCAAAUAUUCUAGCUGUUGUAGUCCUGGAUUCUGGAUUCCAUGCCAAUAUUGAGAUGAAAAGCUGCUAAAUCUGGUUUGUCCUCUGAUCUUGAUUUUACAAUAUCUUAUGUUAUUACUGAUGCACCUCAGCCACAGAGUGUAAACUGAGAAUAAUCACAGAGCUAAGAUUUUCAGGCUGGAAUUUCAUUACAUGAGCUCUACAGUCUUCAUUAAAAGAUAUUUAGGUUAGAAAACAAUACAUAUUUGUUUUUUAAAAUUAGUUCUGGAAGUU
Coturnix japonica (Japanese quail) is the source of this 1284-nucleotide non-coding RNA. The record is from RefSeq and is a predicted model, not a curated record. NCBI's taxonomy places the organism in Eukaryota, Metazoa, Chordata, Aves, Galliformes, Phasianidae.